RNAcentral lists this ribosomal RNA (1229 nucleotides) under Bacillus subtilis. Its description in RNAcentral is "bacterial SSU rRNA". It matches the Rfam family "Bacterial small subunit ribosomal RNA", at positions 51 to 1275 of the family's 1533-position model. The record is from RNAcentral. Lineage: Bacteria; Bacillati; Bacillota; Bacilli; Caryophanales; Bacillaceae.
AUUCAUGCAGUCGAGCGGACAGAUGGGAGCUUGCUCCCUGAUGUUAGCGGCGGACGGGUGAGUAACACGUGGGUAACCUGCCUGUAAGACUGGGAUAACUCCGGGAAACCGGGGCUAAUACCGGAUGCUUGUUUGAACCGCAUGGUUCAGACAUAAAAGGUGGCUUCGGCUACCACUUACAGAUGGACCCGCGGCGCAUUAGCUAGUUGGUGAGGUAACGGCUCACCAAGGCGACGAUGCGUAGCCGACCUGAGAGGGUGAUCGGCCACACUGGGACUGAGACACGGCCCAGACUCCUACGGGAGGCAGCAGUAGGGAAUCUUCCGCAAUGGACGAAAGUCUGACGGAGCAACGCCGCGUGAGUGAUGAAGGUUUUCGGAUCGUAAAGCUCUGUUGUUAGGGAAGAACAAGUGCCGUUCAAAUAGGGCGGCACCUUGACGGUACCUAACCAGAAAGCCACGGCUAACUACGUGCCAGCAGCCGCGGUAAUACGUAGGUGGCAAGCGUUGUCCGGAAUUAUUGGGCGUAAAGGGCUCGCAGGCGGUUUCUUAAGUCUGAUGUGAAAGCCCCCGGCUCAACCGGGGAGGGUCAUUGGAAACUGGGGAACUUGAGUGCAGAAGAGGAGAGUGGAAUUCCACGUGUAGCGGUGAAAUGCGUAGAGAUGUGGAGGAACACCAGUGGCGAAGGCGACUCUCUGGUCUGUAACUGACGCUGAGGAGCGAAAGCGUGGGGAGCGAACAGGAUUAGAUACCCUGGUAGUCCACGCCGUAAACGAUGAGUGCUAAGUGUUAGGGGGUUUCCGCCCCUUAGUGCUGCAGCUAACGCAUUAAGCACUCCGCCUGGGGAGUACGGUCGCAAGACUGAAACUCAAAGGAAUUGACGGGGGCCCGCACAAGCGGUGGAGCAUGUGGUUUAAUUCGAAGCAACGCGAAGAACCUUACCAGGUCUUGACAUCCUCUGACAAUCCUAGAGAUAGGACGUCCCCUUCGGGGGCAGAGAGACAAGUGGUGCAUGGUUGUCGUCACCUCCUGUCCUGAGAAGGUUGGGGUUAAUUCCCGCACCAAGCGCAACCCUUGAUCUAUUUGCCGCCAUCAAUUGGGGCUCUAAGGGAAUGCCGUGGCAACCGCAGAAAGGGGGGGGUGGGGGGGAAAACAAUAAGCGCCCUUAACCGGGGGCCCCCCGCUCCAUGGGAAGAAAAAAGGGGGGGAACCGCCGGGUGAGCAAUCCCC